CUAAGGAAACAAUUAUCAUCUUCAGUUUUGAGAGACUUAAGAAAGUUUUUCAUUGUAACUUGCUUGCAAAUUGUAUUUGCAACAUUUUAAUCUUUUUAAGAUUAAGGGCCUAUAGCUCAGUUGGUUAGAGCACACGCCUGAUAAGCGUGAGGUCGGUGGUUCAAGUCCAUUUAGGCCCACCAUAACCACAAAUAGGCAAAAUCUUAAAAAAGCUCUUUGAAAAGUAGAUAAACGAAGGUUAAAAAAUC
RNAcentral lists this unclassified non-coding RNA (248 nucleotides) under Aster yellows phytoplasma. RNAcentral describes it as "16S-23S rRNA intergenic spacer". The stretch from base 106 to 179 matches the Rfam family "tRNA". RNAcentral also lists the same sequence under 9 other names. Lineage: Bacteria; Bacillati; Mycoplasmatota; Mollicutes; Acholeplasmatales; Acholeplasmataceae. The record is from RNAcentral.